RNAcentral lists this long non-coding RNA (26462 nucleotides) under Physcomitrium patens. Its description in RNAcentral is "long non-coding RNA (PPAT_LNC010913)". The record is from RNAcentral. Lineage: Eukaryota; Viridiplantae; Streptophyta; Bryopsida; Funariales; Funariaceae.
AAUGGAAAAAAUGGGUAUAAUCAACGAGUACGUUUCGAAGAUUAUAGUGAUAAGGAAAUGGAAACCUUGAGCCAUUAUACUCGAAAGUAUUGGGCGAGGGCAACUACUGAGGUAUUCGUGAAAGUAGGAGAUAUAGAAGAACCAAUUGUUGCUUUAGUCGACCAUGGUUCUGAAAUAAAUCUCAUAUCUAAAGAUCUUUAUAAGAAGCAAAAAUGGCCAAUUGAUAUGGAACAUAGAUGGGCAAUUCGAGCAGCUAAUAACUCACGAGGCAAAUUAUAUGGAGCUUGUCUAGAUGUCAAGAUUCGGAUUGGGGAUGUUGCGACGGAGCAAUAUUUCUAUGUUCAAGAUACAACGUCUUAUCCGUUGAUUUUAGGACAACCUUAUAUUACAGCAACACGGAUGGAAACAAAAGUACUUGACGAUGGUAAUGCUUAUGCAAGGGUACGGAGCGAAGAUGGGAGAAAAGCUGUACAAUUUCUAACAGUACCUCCUAACCAUGAACGGAAUCGAGAUAGGUUGAGGGAGAAACCAUUGCCAAAGAUUGUUGAAGGAUUUAAGGAUUUUGGGGAGGUACCACUGUAAAGCGAGAUUAUGGAGGUACAAAAGAGGAGGUACUCUCACGAGAUGAAGGUGCCUUUGAUGCGAGUUUUAUUGGUAUAUUGGAGAAUGGAAAUAUUAUGUAUAAGAAAGUUGAUGAUUUUAAAAGAAAAGAAAGAAAAAGGUUAUAUAAUAUUGAAGGACAAUUACGCAAGAUAAGUGCAUUGCAAGAGGAUGAGAGGAUUUUGGGUGUUUAUGAAGAAAAUGGACUGGAAGAUUCAUUGGAAUUGAUUACAUCUAUUGGGUUAGGGGAUAAUGAUAAGAUUGUUGAGAUUCAUUCAAGUGAGGUUUAUACCAUGCUUGAAUCUUUUCAAGCACCAGAAGUCACUAUAGAGACGAGAUAUAAAACGGAAGAUAAGAAGGGAAAGCCUGUUGCAGGACCAUUGCUAGAAGAUUCAAAAGAACAAAUGGAAGAAGCAUGAAAAGAAGCAAGUUGUCGUAUUACGUGCUUUCCUGCUAGAGAACGCACCGGGCGUCUGGCUGUAGAAGGUAGUAUGGAGAUUCGCCGAUAGUCAAGCAGUUUAUCGGUUUUUGACUGUUGGAAUAUAAACGAUUGUAAGAAUACACUGUAAAUCUAUACGGAUGCCCUUCGAUUGCUUGCGGAAGUCCUUUUUGCCCCAGCCGGUAGGUCUCUAGACAUUACAGAGAACCCCGAAUAAUCCAAACUGCUAAUCUUUGAUACCGCUUUAUAUUCACGAUCUUAUAUCCACUGACUGUCUUGUUAGAUUAACCCAAUAAAUUUCAUUCACUCCGCAUACUCAAUCCUAUAGACACCCUUUUAAUUCUUCAUCAUAGACGUAACUUGUUUUUACAAAACAGUCAAGAGUAAUCACACCCACUUCAUUAAAAUCCCGAUUCACCAGUACAACACUGACUUCAGCAACGUUUGCCUCAAUCUUCCCAAAAUCCUAUGAAGAAAAAAAAACCCAAUUCUCUGUCUUUUUUCUCCUUCCCAAAGCAUGAAGCUAGCUCUCCGAUCCUUCAAAAACCCCCAAAAAAACUUAUUCUCUCCCCUUCAUUUCUUAACCUAUCCUCCCCUUUUACCCUAAUUCUCUCCUCUUUCAAACCCUAGUCUCUGAAUUUAUUCAAUCUUCCGUCUUGGAUCCGGAAUUGGCUCCUGCCGUUAGAGCUUUCUCCUCCGUUUUUACGUUUAAGAGAUCCUUUUACCGAAAACAACGUUCCUUGAAACAGCACAGAGAACAAGACAGCCUGAAACAGAAUCAAAAUCCCCGUAAUUGGGACCACAUUGAGUUGCCCGACCAAUUCAGGUCUCAUAUUGGCUAAGAGGACCUGGAUUGGAUGUCUUGAAAUUGGUCCACAUUGGGUUGCCCGACCAAUUCAGGUCUCAUAUUGCGUAAGAGGCCAGUAGUAAGAUUGGAUGUCUUGAAAUUGGAUCCAAUUGGUUCUUCGAACAAGGUUCACCCGUCGUUGAAUUGGUCCUUUCCCUUUCUGCUGACUCCUGUUAUUGGAAUCGAACGGAGCAUUUCAGUAAGCCCCGGCUGACUGUAACGGGGUGACUGAAUCUAGCCUCUCAGUAUUUGCACUGGAAUUGGUCGUUGCUCUCAAUAUUUGAGGUAACUAAACAUUAAUAAAAGUCCUCUUUUUUUAUAUUUUCACAGUAUACUUGUGUUACAACAUGACAACGCGCUGGGCGUCUGGCUGUAGAAGGUAGUAUGGAGAUUCACCAAUAGUCAAGCAGUCUAUCAGUUUUUGACUGUUGGAAUAUAAACGACUGCAAGACUACACCGUAAAUCUAUACGGAUGCCCUUCGACUGCUUAUCGAAGUCCUUUUUGCCCCAGCCGAUAGGUCUCUAGACGUUACAGAGAACCCCAAACAACCCAAUUUGCUAAUCUCCGAUACAGCUUUGUACUUACGAUCUUGUAUCCACUGACUGUCUUGUUAAAUUAAUCCAAUAAAUUUCAUUCACUUCGUAUACUCAAUCCUAUAGACACCCCUUUAAUCCUUCAAUCACAAACGUAAUUCGAUUUUAUAAAAUAGUCAAGAGUAUUCAAACCCACUUCAUUUAAAAAUCUCGAUUUACCCUUACAACACUGACUUCAGCAGCGAUUGCCUCAGUCUUCCCAAAACUCUACGAAGAAGAAAAAUCCAAAUUCUAUGUCUUUCCUUCCCCGACCCGAAGCAUGAAGCUCCUCUCUCUAAUUCCCUUGAUCUUCAAAAACCUCCAAUGAAACCGAAUUGGUAACCUUGCAAAAGCUUGAAAACUAGCUCCCCCUCCAAUUUCUCGAAAGAAAAAAACCUCCCCCCCUCAAAACUAUAUCCCCCCUAACCUUAUCCUCUGAAUUUCUUCAAUCUUCCGUCUUAGAUCCGGAAUUGGCUCCCACCUCAAGCUUGGAUCCGAAAUUGGCUCUCGUCGUCAAGCUUUCUCCUCCGUUUUUACCUUUAAGAAAUCCAUUUACCGAAAACAAUGUUCCCUGAAACGGCACAAAGAACAGGACAGCCUGAAACAGAAUCGAACCCCGUAAUCGGGACCACAUUGAGUCGCCCGACCAAUUCAGGUCCUACAUUGGGAAAGAUGCCCGUAGUAAUCUAGAUGUUCCCGUAAUUGGGUCAAAUUGGUCCUCGCGUCAGAUUGGCUAAGAUCCGUAGUAAGACUUGGAUUUCCCGUAAUCAGACUGCAUUGGGUUGACCGGCCAAUUCAGGUCUCAUAUAAGAUAAGAAGACCCAGAUUGGAUUAUCGAAAUUGGAUCCAAUUGGCUCCUCGAACCCGUCGUGUGAAUUGGUCCUUCUCUUCCUGCUGACUCUCGUUAUUGGAAUCGAAUGGAGUAUUUCAGUAUGCCCCGGCUGACUGUAACGGAGUGACUGAACCUGACCACUCAGUAUUUGUACUGGAGUUGGUCGAUGCUCCCAAUAUUCGAGGUAACUGAAUAUUAAUAAAAUUCUCCUUUCUUUUUAUUUUCACUGUAUACUCGUGUUACAACACGACAUCCACCCUCUCUGAACCUGUGCAUCCUCCGGUAUGCACCAAUUUACCCAACUGCUGUUUGAUUGAGAAUAUAUCCCCUACGUCUUUGUCCAGUUCGUCUUUGUCACCUUCAUUAUCCAUAUCACUUUCAUCUUCUUGCUGCGGAAUCUCUGUACCUUCAUUAAGGUCUUCCAUAUUCAUCUCUGCGUGUCUUCGUUUAAAUAUUUUUACUUGCUUCCCUGCAAUUGGUAUUUUCAGUUUUGUACCAUCUAACUCCCGUAAUGAGUAAGUCGCAUUAUCAUGAACAGUUGUUACAACAUAUGGUCCAAACCAACGUUUUAAAAAUUUCCGCAAAGUACUUUGUUGAUUAUCCAGACUAUUGUCAAAAACAAGUACCCAGUCACCUUCCUCGAUUGUUUUUGGUCUUAAUCGAUGUUGCUUAUCGAAUCGCGCCUUGUUUUGUAACCUUGCUCUUUUUAACCUUUCUAAUGCUAUCUGGACAUCUUCCGUUCUUUGCUCCAAUUGUCGAAUCCUAAUAGCCAGAAGUUCUUCUCUUGUCAAUCCAUCUUCCCAUGGUAGCAUACUCCAAGUAAGUACCUUUUCUUCAAUCGGCAUAAUUGGUUUUUGACCUGUCAUAAGUUCUACUGGCAUAUAUCCUAUCACCAAACUAUGUGUUGUUCGAUCAGCCCAUAAUGCAAAUGACAAAAGCCGUGGCCACUCUUUAACCUUCAUAUUACAAGCUUUAACCAAUGCUUUCACAAUCGGCAGGUGACCGCGUUCGCUUUUCGCAUUCCCUUCAAGAUUAUAAGCAGUAGUCAGUGAUAGUUUAACUCCACAUUUUUCAAAGAACUUAUGAGCUUUUUGUGCAUUUAAUUCUCCACGAUCUGCAGUGAUUUUUCCUACGCAUCCCUAACGGCAAAUGACAUCUUCAAGCAAAAACCUACAAAUCCCCUUUGUAGAUUUUGUCCUCAAUGCUCUUCCUUCUACUAGAUUUGAUAAAUCUUCACGAGCUAAAAUCAAAUAUCUCAUCUGCCAUAACCCAACCAGCAUAAUAACCAAAUCAACAAUCUAUUUAAAAUGAAUAGCCAGAGGAUACGUAAGAUGAAGACCAUCUCGAUGUCAGAUAUUAGAAUACGAUUGACAGAUUUCACAUGACUCUACAAAUGAGAGCACAUCUCGAUAUAUAUUUUUCCACCAAUAUCGUUCCUUGAGUUUAGCAAAAGUAGCCCAGAUUCCUCUAUGCCCUGCCUAUAAACUAUCAUGAAACUCCUUUAAUAAUUUUAGUUUUUCUUCCCUUUAUGCCUAUCACUCGUUGUGGCAUCCCAAUUCCUUUCUUCGGUCUCUUCCAUAACAAUCCAUCUCGAAGUAAAAAUCCAUAUGCUUUUUUUCUUAUUUGUUUGAAUUUUUUUGUAGACCAAUUCCCUUGCUUAGACAAGGUAUUCAAAUAAUGACCAAUAUUCAAUAAUUCUCCUUCAUAAGAUUCUUCAAGAAAUAGCUUGUCUUCUCUGUUGAGAUUUGAUAUUGAAUAGAAUUUCAAUUCGACAUCACCAAUGUCUUCAACCAUUUCGUCCUCCCUCUCGUAUCUUGCUCGAUAUAGCAUGUCUGCUACUAAAUUGUCCUUCCCAGUAAUAUGCUUAAAUUCUGGAUUUAGUGACUUAAUAUAAGCAAUCCAUCUCAACAUUGCAAUAUUUGGCGUUGAACAAUUAAUAAUCAUUCCAAGCAAUGGCAAGCAAUCUGUUUCAAUUACUACUACCAUCCCAAUCAAAUAGUCUUUUUCAGCUUUCAAAGCCGAAACGACUCCCCAAAGUUCUCUUUUGACUUGCGAAUAUGCACGCUGACGAAUACUUAAAACUUUAGCCCCAAAUCGAACUGCAAAUCAACUCCCAUUCGAAUCAUCUUGAUCCACCGCCCAUCCAACGGCAAUUGGACUAGCAUCCACAAUAAGAAUCACUGGUCUAUUGCACUUAUAAUCAACCUUCCUCAAUAUUGGAGGUGACAUCAAUAAUUUCUUCAAUCUUUGCAUUGCCUGAAUAUGCCAUUCUUUCCAUUCAAAUCGGUAACCCUUGCGUAACAGUUCAUAUAAUGGAUCUGCUAUGUGAGCAAAAUGAGGGAUCUAGAUUCGAUAAAAUACACAUGCACCCAAAAACCUGUGAACCUCUGUUAAAGAAUCACAAUCCUCUUUCAUCCUUCCAAUUGCAUCAACUUUAGUCGGAUCUGGUUUUCUUCUGUAAGAUCCACAUAAAUGUCCAAUAAUUACAACCUCUCGCACUCCAAAUACGGACUUCAUAUCCGAUAAUGUAAGAUGAACUUCUCCAAGCCAAGUUAAAAUCUUUUCACAAUCUUGUAUAUGAUCAACAACAUAUCUGCGACAUCCCCUCGUAUCUAAAGUUUCAUCCUUGUCUCCUUCUCUGCACCCUUUUAUAGGAACAUCAUCCAGAAAAGGCAUAGUCUUUUCCGGAAUAAAAUCUCUCAAUACCUUAUUCAUCCCAUUCAUCAUAUGCGCAACUGAGUUGGUCGCGCGUUGAGGAAGAGUGCACAUUCUAACCAAUCCAAGCGAUGUCCUCAUCGUUGUCAUAUCUCUACUUCCUUCGGCAAGUUGAAAUUGAUCAUAACCUGAAUACGAAUCACCCAUUGAAUAGAUCGCCCUUCCAGCAAACGCCUCAGUUAAUUCAUCCACAAUAGGUCCAAUUCCUGCAUUCCUGACAAUUACAGCAUUCACCGGCUGCAUAUCUUGAAUAAACCAUAGUGACCCAUUCUUCUUAGGUACCGUAAACCAUCGACUAGAAUACGGCGCAAAUGAAGGUUCUAAUAUUUUCAUCUUUAUCUUUUCUUUCAAUAGUUCCACCAAUUUAGGUAAAUGUGCCCUUGGUACUGGAAUCGGUCUUAGAUUCCAAGGUACAUGCGGUACAGUGAAGAUAACCAUAGGUGUUAUAAUAUUUGGAUCCACACAUCCAAUUUCAUGAGAUUCGAAGGCAAACGAUCUACCUUAUUUAGCCAACAUCUUUUUGAAGCAAGUAAUUUCCUCCGGCAAUAAAGAACCAUCAGAAUCAAUCUUCAAUUCUUCAAAAGUCUCUUCAGUAAACUGAUGUCCAAUACUCACUGGAUCUCUUAAACUUGCUUCUUUUGAUGCUUCUCCCAUUUGUUCUUUAGAAUCCUCUGGUAAUGGUCCGGCAACAGGCUUUCCCUUCUUAUCUGCCAUUUUAUAUCUCGUCUCUACUGUGACUUUUGGUGCUUGAAAAGAUUCAAGCAUGGUAUAAACCUCUCUGGAAUGAAUCUCAACAAUCUUAUCAUUAUCCCUUAACCCAAUAGAUGUAAUCAAUUCCAAUAAAUCUUCCAGUCCAUUUUCUUCAUAAACACCUAAAAUCCUCUCAUCAUCUUGCAAUGUACCUAACAUGCGUAAUUCUCUUUCAAUAUUAUAUAAUCUUUUUCUUUCUUUUCUUUUAAAAUCAUCAACUUUCUUAUACAUAAUAUUUCCAUUCUCCAAUAUACCAAUAAAACUCGCAUCAAAGGCACCUUCAUCUCGCGAGAGUACCUCCUCCUUUGUACCUUCAUAAUCUCGCUUUACAGUGAUACCUCCCCAAAAUCCUUAAAUCCUUCAACAAUCUAUGGCAAUGGUUUCUCCCUCAACCUAUACCGAUUCCGUUCAUGGUUAGGAGGUACUGUUAGAAAUUGUACAACUUUCCUCCUAUCUUCGCUCUGUACCCUUGCAUAAGCAGAACCAUCGUCAAGUACCUUUGUUUCCAUCCGUGUUGUCGUGAUAUAAGGUUGUCCUAAAAUCAACGGAUAAGACGUUGUAUCUUGAACGAAGAAAUAUUACUUCGUCGCAACAUCCCCAAUCCGAAUUUUGACAUCUGAACAAGCUCCAUAUAAUUCUCCUCGUGUGUUAUUAGCUGCUCGUAUUGCCCAUCCAUGUUCCAUAUCAAUUGGCCAUUUUUGCUUCUUAUAAAGAUCUUUAGACAUGAGAUUUAUUUCAGAACCAUGGUCCACCAAGGCAACUAUUGGUUCUUCUAUAUCUCCUACCUUCAUCAAUACCUCAGUAGUUGCCCUUGCCUAAUGCAUUCGAGUAUAAUGGCUCAAAGUUUCCAUUUUCUUGUCACUAGAAUCUUCGAAACGUACUCGCAGAUUAUACCCAUUUUUUCCAUUUGUUGGUUGCUUGUAACCAAUAUCAACCUCUUCUUCAUCUCUACAUAUUCUUGCAUCAAUAACAUGACUCAUUCCAGUUUCGCUCAUUAAUUGUCUCUUUCGCUUAAUGCUGUCAAUGAUAACAUCAUGAAACUCCUUCUUUGUAAUUCGCAAAACUUCUUUCAAUGUGAAUUCCACCUUAGCGUUUAAUAUACGUUCUUCCAACAUCCCUUUCAAAUUUGUUGCCGCUUCAAUGUCAGAAAGUAGCUUAUAAGUAAUUGAUUUCCCUUAUCUUUUGUCUCCCUUGUUUUUUCUUCCAAUGAUGCUGAGGUAUCUUUUAUAGGCAAUUCUUGUGAAGCUGCUUCUCGAGCCUUGUCUCCUUGAGUUUGCCUCUUAGAAGAAUUUCCUUCUCUGGUAUCAUCAAAAUUUCUUCGUCUCUUUUCUUCCAUCAAAGCUUCAUGUUGGCUCUUAAUAAUAUAUGCAUGAACUGAAAGAGACUCAACAGGAUCCUCCUAACCUGUUGCACCUCAUAUUGUAGCUGCAGUCCUAAAUAAUGCUUCUCGAGGUAAUUUUCCUUCUUGCAUUGUAGAAAUGGUAGAAGCCCAAAACUCACUAGUUUCCAUUCUUCCACCAAGGUCAUCAUCUACUCUAGCACCAUAACUUGCACUUUCUAGUGCUACUGUUUUGCGCUCUUUUAGGUAAUCUUGAACCAAUGCUCUCAUUCUUUUCUUACCAAAAUUGGUUUGAAGAAGAUCCUUCCUAUCUUUCAAUCCUAUCUUCCCAUCUUUCCAGCAAAUAAUUCCGUGCCGUAUCAUAUUAUUAAAUUCAUUGCAAUCUUUUCUAGUGUGUGAAGCAUCAUCACACCAAAUGCAUCUUUGUACAUAUCCUUGUUUUGAAACAUUCUUCGAAUUAUUUAUAGAAGUAUUCUCUUCAAGUCUUACCAAUUUGAUUUGAAGAUCUCACAUUCCUCGUAUAAUUUCUUCCAUACCCAUAUCUGCUUUCUUUGACAAGGAUGUCGAAGGUUGAACUGUAGGCAUUGUCGGUGGUAUUGUACGUACUGGAGCUUUGGGUGCUUGUACUGUUUUUGGAAUAUUGCUCCUAUCCUUCCUCCUUUCUUUUUUUGUAAGCAACUCCACCGCAUCUUAAUCGUUCUUCUACUUCGUUGUCAAUCCUUCAUCUUCUUCUUUGUCUUCAAGAAGGGGUUCUAAUUUCUCUUGCAAUUCUCCAUUAGCAGCUUGAAGAAAUAGAUCAACUUUGUUCGGCUCCAAUGUCAAUUUUUCUACCUUCAAUAAUUGAGAGUACUGCCUCUCAAAUUCCCUUAGUAGCUUUGUUGCUUGCAAAUUCUUAUUGGGCCGUUCAAUCCAUCCCAGAAACAGCUUCUUAGUAAUGCGAUCAGCAUCUUCCAAGAAAUAUUCGUCUUUCAAUGCAUGUGAAAAAUCCUCCCAUGAAUUCCCACAACAAUCCGUAAUCGAUGUAAUGUGGUCUCUUAUCUCCGGUACCGUGGCAAGUCUAAAUAAUUCAACCAUUUUCUUCUCAGAAAUCUGAUUUAAUUCUAUUUUACGAACAUAACCUCUUAAAUACCUUGAAAUAUUCCUCCCAUCAAAUUGAUCAAUUUUAUUGACCACUGCUUGCAAUGCUUUGGUUGCCAAAGCUUCCUUUCGAUCAUUGCUUUGCUGUUGCUGCAUUGACAAUGAGAAGGCUUGAAACAAACUAGCAAUAGACGGAUCCAUAUGCAAACCUUAUCCUUUAGAAGACUCCCCACCAGAAACUUCUCCCAAAAAUCCUUCAAAAUUUUUAUUUUCGUUUUCCAUAAAAAUAAAGAUAAAAUCAACCGAAAUCCAAUACCUUCCACCUCAAGCUUUCACGUCGGGUUCACCACUUAUGUCACAUUACGUGCUUUCCUGCUUGAAAACGUGCCGGGCGUUUGGCUGUAGAAGGUAGUAUGGAGAUUCGCCGAUAGUCAAGCAGUCUAUCAGUUUUUGACUGCUGGAAUAUAAACACCUGCAAUAAUGUACCGUAAAUCUAUACGGAUGCUCUUCGACUGCUUGUCGAAGUCUUUUUUUUUUUUUUGCCCCAGCCGAUAGGUCUCUAGACGUUACAGAGAACCCCGAACAACCCAAACUGUUAAUCUUCAAUACCCCUUUGUACUUACAAUCUUGCAUCCACUGACUGUCCUGUUAGAUUAACCCAAUAAAUUUCAUUCACUCCGCAUACUCAAUCCUAUAGACACCCCUUUAAUCCUUCAAUCACAGACGUAACUCGAUUUUAUAAAACAGUCAAGAGUAUUCAAACCCACUUCAUUUAAAAAUCCCAAUUCACCCUUACAACACUGACUUCAGCAGCAAUUGCCUCAGUCAUCCCAAAACUCUACGAAGAAGAAAAAUCCAAAUUCUAUGUCUUUCCUUUCCCGACCCGAAGCAUGAAGCUCCUCUCUCUAAUUCCCUUGAUCUUCAAAAACCUCCAAUAAAACCAAACUGAUAACCUUGCAAAAGCUUGAAAACUAGCUCUCCCCCGAUUCCCCGAAAGAAAAAAACCUCCCCCCCUCAAAACUAUAUCCCCCCUAACCUUAUCCUCUGAAUUUCUUCAAUCUUCCGUCUUAGAUCCGGAAUUGGCUCACACCUCAAGCUUGGAUCCAAAAUUGGCUCUCGCCGUCAAGCUUUCUCCUCCGUUUUUACCUUUAAGAAAUCCAUUUACCGAAAACAAUGUUCCCUGAAACGGCACAAAGAACAGGACAGCCUGAAACAGAAUCGAACCCCAUAAUCGGGACCACAUUGAGUCGCCCGACCAAUUCAGGUCCUAUAUUGGGAAAGAUGCCCGUAGUAACCUGGAUGUUCCCGUAAUUGGAUCAAGUUGGUCCUCGCGUUAGAUUGGCUAAGACCCGUAGUAAGACUUGGAUUUCCCAUAAUUAGACUCCAUUGGGUUGACCGGCCAAUUCAGGUCUCAUAUUGGAUAAGAAGACCCGGAUUGGAUUAUCGAAAUUGGAUCCAAUUGGCUCCUCAAACCCAUUGUGUGAAUUGGUCCUUCUCUUCCUGCUAACUCCCGUUAUUAGAAUCGAAUGGAGCAUUUCAGUAUGCCCCGGCUGACUGUAACGGAGUGACUGAACCUGACCACUCAGUAUUUGUACUGGAAUUGGUCGAUGCUCCCAAUAUUCGAGGUAACUGAAUAUUAAUAAAAUUCCCCUUUCUUUUUAUUUUCACUGUAUAUUCGUGUUACAAUACGACUACGUAAUACGACAAAAGAGGUGAACCCGACGUGAAUGCUUGAGGUGGAAGGUAUUGGAUUUCGGUUGAUUUCAUCUUUAAUUUAUGGAAAACGAAAAUAAAAAAUUUGAAGGAUUUUUGGGAGGAGUUUCUGGUGGGGGUUCUUCUAAAGGACAAGGUAUGCACAUGGAUCCGUCUAUUGCUAGUAUGUUUCAAGCCUUCUCAUUAUCAAUACAGCAAUAGCAAAGCAAUGAUCGAAAGGAAGCUUUGGCAACCAAACCAUUGUAAGCAGUGGUCAAUAAAAUUGAUCAAUUUGAUGGGAGGAAUAUUUCAAGGUAUUUAAGAGGUUAUGUUCGUAAAAUAGAAUUAAAUCAGAUUUCUGAGAAGAAAAUGGUUGAAUUAUUUAGACUUGCCACGGUACCGGAGAUAAGAGACCACAUUAUAUCGAUUACGGAUCGUUAUAGAAAUUCAUGGGAGGUUUUUUCACAUGCAUUGAAAGACGAAUAUUUCUUGGAAGAUGCUGAUCACGUUACUAAGAAGUUGUUUCUGGAAUGGAUUGAACGGCCCAAUAAGAAUUUACAAGCAACAAAGCUACUAAGGGAAUUUGAGAGGCAAUACUCUCAAUUAUCGAAGGUAGAAAAAUUGACAUUGGAGCCGAACAAAGUUGAUCUAUUUCUUCAAGCUGCAGAUGGAAAAUUACAAGAGAAAUUAGAAUUCCUCCUUGAAGACAAAGAAGAAGAUGAAGGAUUGACAACAAAGUGGAAGAACGUUGAAGAUGCGGUGGGAUUGCUUACAAAAAGAGAAAGGAGGAAGGAUAGGAGCAAUAUUCCAAAAACAGUACAAGCACCCAAAGCUCCAGUACGUACAACACCACCAACAAUGCCUACAGUUCAACCUUCGAGAUCCUUAUCAAAGAAAGCAGGUAUGGAGAUGGAAGAAAUUAUACGAGGAAUGCGAGAUCUUCAAAUCAAAUUGGUAAGACUUAAAGAGAAUACUUCUACAAACAAUUUCAAGAAUAUUUCAAAACAAUGAUAUGUACAAAGAUGCAUUUGGUGUGAUGACGCUUCACACACUAGAAAAGAUUGCAAUGAAUUUAAUAAUAUGAUAUGGCGAGGAAUUAUUUGCUAGAAAAAUGGAAAGUUUGCAUUAAAAGAUAGGGAGGAUCUUCUUCAAAUCAAUUUUGGCAAGAAAAGAAUGAGAGCAUUGGUUAAAGAUUACCUAAAAGAGCGCAAAACAGUAGCACUAGAAAGUGCAAGUUAUGGUGCUAGAGUAGAUGAUGACCUUGGUGGAAGAAUGGAAACUAGUGAGUUUUGGGCUUCUACCAUUUCUACAAUGCAAGAAGGAAAAUUACCUCGAGAAGCAUUAUUUAGGACUGCAGCUACAAUACGAGGUGCAACAGGUUAGGAGGAUCCUGUUGAGUCUCUUUCAGUUCAUGCAUAUAUUACUAAGAGCCAAUAUGAAGCUUUGAUGGAAGAAAAGAGACGAAGAAAUUUUGAUGAUACCAGAGAAGGAAAUUCUUCUAAGAGGCAAACUCAAGGAGACAAGGCUCGAGAAGCAGCUUCACAAGAAUUGCCUAUAAAAGAUACCUCAGCAUCAUUGGAAGAAAAAACAAGGGAGACAAAAGAUAAGGGCAAAUCAAUUACUUAUAAGCUACUUUCUGACAUUGAAGCGGCAACAAAUUUGAAAGGGAUGUUGGAAGAACGUAUAUUAAAUGCUAAGGUGGAAUUCACAUUGAAAGAAGUCUUGGGAAUUACAAAGAAGGAGUUUCAUGAUGUUAUCAUUGACAGCAUUAAGCAAAAGAGGCAAUCAAUGGACGAAACUGGAAUGAGUCAUGCUAUUGAUGCAAGAAUAUAUAAAGAUGAAGAAGAGGUUGAUAUUCGUUACAAGCAACCAACAAAUGGAAAAAAUGGGUAUAAUCAACGAGUAUGUUUCGAAGAUUAUAGUGAUAAGGAAAUGGAAACCUUGAGCCAUUAUACUCGAAAGCAUUGGGCGAGGGCAACUACUGAGGUAUUCGUGAAAGUAGGAGAUAUACAAGAACUAAUUGUUGCUUUAGUCGACCAUGGUUCUGAAAUAAAUCUCAUGUCUAAAGAUCUUUAUAAGAAGCAAAAAUGGCCAAUUGAUAUGGAACAUGGAUGGGCAAUUCGAGCAGCUAAUAACACACGGGGCGAAUUAUAUGGAGCUUGUCUAGAUGUCAAGAUUCGGAUUGGGAAUGUUGCGACGAAGCAAUAUUUCUUUGUUUAAGAUGUAACGUCUUAUCCGUUGAUUUUAGGACAACCUUAUAUUACGACAACACGGAUGGAAACAAAAGUACUUGACGAUGGUUCUGCUUAUAUAAGGGUACGUAGCAAAGAUGGGAGGAAAGCUGUACAAUUUCUAACAGUACCUCUUAAUCAUGAACGAAAUCGAGAUAGGUUGAGGGAGAAACCAUUGCCAAAGAUUGUUGAAAGAUUUAAGGAUUUUGGGAAGGUACCACUAUAAAGCGAGAUUAUGAAGGUACACAAGAGGAGGUACUCUCGUGAGAUGAAGGUGCCUUUGAUGCGAGUUUUAUUGAUAUUUUGGAGAAUGGAAAUAUUAUGUAUAAGAAAGUUGUUGAUUUUAAAAGAAAAGAAAGAAAAAGAUUAUAUAAUAUUGAAGGAGAAUUACGCAAGUUAGGUACAUUGCAAGAUGAUGAGAGGAUUUUAGAUGUUUAUGAAGAAAAUGGACUGGAAGAUUCAUUGGAAUUGAUUACAUCUAUUGGGUUAGGGGAUAAUGAUAAGAUUGUUGAGAUUUUAUUCAAGAGAGGUUUAUAUCAUACUUGAAUCUUUUCAAGCACCAGAAGUCAUUGUAGAGACGAGAUAUAAAACGAAAGAUAAGAAGGGAAAGCCUAUUGCCGGACCAUUGCUAGAAGAUUCAAAAGAACAAAUGGAAGAAGUAUGAAAAGAAGCAAGUUUAAGUGAUCCAAUGAGUAUUGGACAUUAGUUUACUAAAGAGACUUUUGAAGAAUUGAAGAUUGGUUCUGAUGGUUCUUUAUUGUCGGAGGAAAUUACUUGCUUCAAAAAGAUGUUGGCUAAACAAGGUAGAUCGUUUGCCUUCGAAUCUAAUGAAAUUGGGUGUGUGAAUCCAAAUAUUAUAACACCUAUGGUUAUCUUCACUAUACCGCAUGUACCUUGGAAUCUAAGACCGAUUCCAGUACCGAGGGCACAUUUACCUAUAUUGAUGGAACUAUUAAAAGAAAAGAUAAAGAUGAAAAUAUUGGAACCCUCAUUUGCACCGUAUUCUAGUCGAUGGUUUACGGUACCUAAGAAGAAUGGGUCACUGUGGUUUAUUCAAGGUAUACAACCAAUGAAUGCAGUAACUGUUAGAAAUGCAGGAAUUGGAUCUAUUGUGGAUGAACUUGCUGAGGCGUUUGUUCGAAGGGCGAUCUAUUCAAUGGAUGACUUGUAUUCAGGUUAUGAUCAAUUUCAACUUGUCGAAGGAGGUAGAGAUAUGACAACAAUGAGGACACCACUAAGAUUGGUUAGAAUGUGUACUCUUCUUCAAGGCGCAACCAACUCAGUUGCGCAUAUGAUGAAUGGGAUGAAUAAGGUAUUGAGAGAUUUUAUUCUGAAAAAGACUAUGCCUUUUUUGGAUGAUGUUCCUAUAAAAGGGUGCAGAGAAGGAGACAAGGAUGAAACUUUAGAUACGAGAGGGUGUCGCAAAUAUAUUGUUGAUCAUAUACAAGAUUGUGAAAAGAUUUUAACUUGGCUUGGAGAAGUUCACCUUACAUUAUCGGGUAUGAAGUCCGUAUUUGGAGUAUGAGAGGUUGUGAUUGUUGGACAUUUAUGUGGAUCUUACGGAAGAAAACCAGAUCCGACUAAAGUUGAUGCAAUUGGAAGGAUGAAAGAGGAUUGUGAUUCUUUAACAGAGGUUCGCAGGUUUUUAGGUGCAUGUAUAUUUUAUCGAAUCUGGAUCCCUCAUUUUGCUCACAUAGCGAAUCCAUUAUAUGGACGCUAGUCUAAUUACCAUUGGAUGGACUUUGGGUCAAGAUGAUUCCAGUGAAAAUAGAUUUGCAGUUCGAUUUGGAGCUAAAGUUUUCAGUAUUCGUCAACGUGCAUAUUAGCAAGUCAAAAGAGAACUUUGCGGAGUCGUUUCGGCUAUAAAAGCUGAAAAGGACUAUUUGAUUGGAGUAGUAGUAGGAAUUGAAACAGAUUGCUUGCCAUUGCUAGGAAUGAUUACUAACUGUUCAACGUCAAAUAUUGCAAUGUUGAGAUGGAUUGCUUAUAUUAAGUCACUAAAUCUAGAAUUUAAGCAUGUUACUGGGAAGGACAAUUUAGUAGCAGACAUGCUAUCUCGAGCAAGAUACGAGAGGGAGGACGAAAUGGUUGAAGACAUUGAUGACGUCGAAUUGAAAUUCUAUUCAAUAUCAAAUCUCAACAGAGAAGACAAGCUAUUUCUUGAAGAAUCUUAUGAAGGAGAAUUAUUGAAUAUUGGUCAUUACUUGAAUAUCUUGACUAAGCAGGAGAAUUGGUCUACAAAAAAAUUCAAACAAAUAAGAAAAAAAGCAUAUGGAUUUUUGCUUCGAGAUGGAUUCUUAUGGAAGAGACCGAAGAAAGGAAUUGGGAUGCCACAACGAGUGAUAGGCAAAAAAGAAGAAAGACUAAAACUAUUAAAGGAGUUUCAUGAUAGUUUAUGGGCAGGGCAUAGAGGAAUCUAGGCUACUUUUGCUAAACUCAAGGAACGAUAUUGGUGGAAAAAUAUGUAUCAAGAUGUGCUCUCAUUUGCAGAGUCAUGUGAAAUCUGUCAAUCGUAUUCUAAUAUCCGACAUCGAGGUGGUCUUCAUCCUACGUAUCCUCUGGCUAUUCAUUUUAAAUGGGUUGUUGAUUUGGUUAUUAUGUCGGUUGGGUUAUGGCAGACGAGAUAUUUGAUUUUAGCUCGCAAAGAUUUAUCAAAUCAAGUAGAAGGAAGAGCAUUGAGGACAAAAUCUACAGAGGGGAUUUGUAGGUUUUUGCUUGAAGAUAUCAUUUGCCGCUACGGAUGCGUAGGAAUAAUCAUUGCAGAUCAUGGAGAAUUAAAUGCACAAGAAGCUCGUAAGUUCUUUGAAAGAUGUGGAAUUAAAUUAUCACUGACUACUGCUUAUAAUCCAUAAGGGAAUACAAAAAGCGAUCGCGGUCUCCCACUGAUUGUGAAAGCAUUAGUUAAAGCUUGUAAUGGAUAAGUUAAAGAGUGGCCACGGCUUUCGUCAUUUGCAUUAUGGGUUGAUCGAACAACACAUAGUUCAGUGACAGGAUAUAUGCUAGUAGAACUUAUGACAGGUCAAAAACCAAUUAUGCCGAUUGAAGAAAAGGUACUUACUUAGAGUAUGCUACCAUGGGAAGAUAGAUUGACAAGAGAAGAACUUCUGGCUAUUAGGAUUUGAAAAUUAGAGCAAAGAUCAGAAGAUGUGCAAAUAGCAUUGGAAAGGUUCAAAAGGACAAGAUUACAAAACAAGGCACGAUUCGAUAAGCAACAUCGAUUGAGACCUAAAACAAUCGAGGAAGGUGACUGGGUACUUGUUUAUGACAAUAGUUUGGAUAAUCAACAUAGUACUUUGCGGAAAUUUUUAAAACGUUGGUUUGGACCAUAUGUAGUAACAACUAUUCAUGAUAAUGCGACUUACUCAUUACGGGAGUUAGAUGGUACAAAAUUGAAAAUACGAAUUGCAGGGAAGUUAGUAAAAAUAUUUAAACAAAGAUACGCGAAGAUGAAUAUGGAAGACCUUAAUGAAGGUAUAGUGAUUCCGCAGCAAGAAGAUGAAAGUAAAUUGGAUAAUGAAGGUGACGAAGACGAACGUGACAAAGACGUAGAGGAUAUAUUCUAAAUCAAACAGCAAUUGGAUAAAUUGGUGCAUACCGGAAGAUGCACAAGUUCGGAGGGGGGUGGAUGUCGUGUUAUAACAAGAGUAUAUUGUGAAAAUAUAAAAAAAGAGGACUUUUAUUAAUGUUUAGUUAUCUCAAAUAUUGGGAGCAACGACCAAUUCCAGUGCAAAUACUGAGAGGCUAGAUUCAGUCACCCCGUUACAGUCAGCCGGGGCUUACUGAAAUGCUCCGUUCGAUUCCAAUAACGGGAGUCAGUAGAAAGGGAAAGGACCAAUUCAACGACGGGUGAACCUGGUUCGAAGAGCCAAUUGGAUCCAAUUUCAAGACAUCCAAUCUAGAUCUUACUACUGGCCUCUUACGCAAUAUGAGACCUGAAUUAGUCGGGCAACCCAAUAAAGUCCAAUUUCAAGACAUCGAAUCCGGAUCCUCUUAGCCAAUAUGAGACCUGAAUUGGUCGGGCAACUCAAUGUGGUCCCAAUUACGGGGGUUUCGAUUCUGUUUCAGGCUGUCUUGUUCUCUGUGCCAUUUCAAGGAACGUUGUAUUCGGUAAAAAGAUCUCUUAAAGGUAAAAACGGAGGAAAAAACUUUGACGGUGGGAGCCAAUUCCGGAUCCAAGAUGGAAGAUUGAAUAAAUUCAGAGGCUAGGAUUUGAAAGAGGAGAGAAUUAGGGUUAAAGGGGAGGAUAGGUUAAGAAAUGAAGGGCAAAGAAUAAGUUUUUUUGGGGGGUUUUGAAGGAUCGGGGAGCUAGCUUCAUGCUUCGGGAAGGGGAAAAAAGACAGAGAAUUGGGUUUUUUUUUCUUCAUAGGAUUUUGGAAAGACUGAGGCAAUCGUUGCUGAAGUCAGUGGUGUAUUGGUGAAUCGGGAUUUUAAUGAAGUGGGUGUGAUUACUCUUGACAGUUUUGUAAAAUCGAGUUACGUUUGUGAUGAAGAAUUAAAAGGGUGUCUAUAGGAUUGAGUAUGCGGAGUGAAUGAAAUUUGUUGGAUUAAUCUAAUGAGACAAUCAGUGGAUACAAGAUUGUGAGUAUAAAGCGGUAUCGAAGAUUAGCAGUUUGGGUUGUUCGGGGUUCUCUAUAACGUCUAGAGACCUAUCGGCUGGGGCAAAAAGGACUUCGGCAUGCAAUCGAAGGGCAUCCGUAUAGAUUUACAGUGUAUUCUUACAAUCAUUUAUAUUCCAAUAGUCAAAAACCGAUAGACUGCAUGAAUAUUGGCGAAUCUCCAUACUACCUUCUACAGCCAGAUGUCCGGUGCGUUCUCGAGCAGGAAAGCAUGUAAUACGCCAAAAGUGGUGAACCCGAUGUGAAAGCUUGAAGAGGAAGGUAUUAGAUUUUGUUUGAUUUUAUUUUUAUUUUUAUUUUAUGAAAAACGAAAAUAAAAAAUUUUGAAGGAUUUUUGGGAGGAGUUUCUAGUAGAGGUUCUUCUAAAGGACAAGGUAUGCACAUGGAUCCGUCUAUUGCUAGUAUGUUUCAAGCCUUCUCAUUAUCAAUACAGCAAUAGCAAAGCAAUGAUCGAAAGGAAGCUUUGGCAACCAAACCAUUGUAAGCAGUGGUCAAUAAAAUUGAUCAAUUUGAUGGGAGGAAUAUUUCAAGGUAUUUAAGAUGUUAUGUUCGUAAAAUAGAAUUAAAUCAUAUUUCUGAGAAGAAAAUGGUUGAAUUAUUUAGACUUGCCACGGUACCGGAGAUAAGAGACCACAUUAUAUCGAUUACGGAUCGUUAUAGAAAUUCAUGGGAGGUUUUUUUACAUGCAUUGAAAGAUGAAUAUUUCUUGGAAGAUGCUGAUCGCGUUACUAAGAAGUUGUUUCUGGAAUGGAUUGAACGGCCCAAUAAGAAUUUACAAGCAACAAAGCUACUAAGGGAAUUUGAGAGGCAGUACUCUCAAUUAUCGAAGGUAGAAAAAUUGACAUUGGAGCCGAACAAAGUUGAUCUAUUUCUUCAAGCUGUAGAUGGAAAAUUACAAGAGAAAUUAGAAUUCCUCCUUGAAGACAAAGAAGAAGAUGAAGGAUUGACAACAAAGUCGAAGAACGUUGAAGAUGCGGUGGGAUUGCUUACAAAAAGAGAAAGGAGGAAGGAUAGGAGCAAUAUUCCAAAAACAGUACAAGCACCCAAAGCUCCAGUACGUACAACACCACCAACAAUGCCUACAGUUCAACCUUCGAGAUCCUUAUCAAAGAAAGCAGGUAUGGAGAUGGAAGAAAUUAUACGAGGAAUGCGAGAUCUUCAAAUCAAAUUGGUAAGACUUAAAGAGAAUACUUCUACAAACAAUUCCAAGAAUAUUUCAAAACAAUGAUAUGUACAAAGAUGCAUUUGGUGUGAUGACGCUUCACACACUAGAAAAGAUUGCAAUAAAUUUAUGUCAGGGACAUAUUUCUUAGAACUUUUUAGAGAGAAGUUUCUAGGAACUUCUAGAAAACAAGCCUCUGGAACCUUCUAGAAGAGAAGCCUCUAGAACCUUUUAGAGAGAAGUUUCUAGAAGCUUCUAGAGAGGAAGUCUCUAGAACCUUCUAGAAGAAAAGUUUCUAGAAACUUCUAGAAAGGAAUCUCCUAGAACUUUCUAGAAGCUUCCUAGUUAAUAGAAGUAGCUCGAGAAGUUUCUAGAACCUUCUCGAAAGGAAGCCUCUGGAUCCUUCUAGAAGCUUCUUAGUUAAUAGAAGUAGCUCGAGAAGCUUCCUAAGUAGGAGUAUAUAUAGGAAUCGAGGCUGAAGAGUUCUUCAGUCUCGACAACACAUCUCUUGGAGUUCUAGCUCACCUUUCUGGUGUUGUUCUUGUACUCAUCUGUUUAAUCUAGUUCUGUCACUUCUUCUUGAACUUCUUGUUAGAUUUCAAGUCUGUAUUUUGUGUCCGUGACAGUUUGUCGAGACUACACUAACUUGAGAUAUCAGAGUUAGUUCUUUCUUAAUAGAGUGUGGAUUACCCCUCUACUUGAAGGUAUAUUAGCAUUUUUAAAGGUUGCGGAUUACCCUCCUCUAAACUGAUACUUCUUUUGUUACAAUAUUGGAGUCUUAUUCUUCUUGGAGAGAGUGGAUUACCCUUCUUCUUGAAAUUCUUAAGGCGUUUUAUAGGUUGUGGAUUACCCUCCUAUAAACCAAUAUUGCCUCUUGUAGAGUCAUUUUUGUCCUUCUUUUAGAAUGGCCGGAGGUCAAGACAUUAGUAUGACAGAAAGUUCGGAGUCUAAGUUAGAUGCUAUUAUGAAUGCCUUCGCUACGUUAUCACAAAGAACUGCAGAGAUUGAAGGAGUGGUGGCAAGGCUUCAUAAUGAUGGAGUAUCUGGGAUAGCACAAUCUAAACUACACCAGCCUCAAAUUUCGGCACUUGGAGAAACAACUUUACCUCAGGUUCGACAAGAACCACUAGUUCUACAACAUAAGGAGCCUCGAGUUAGCCUUCCAGAUAAGUUUGAUGGAGCACGUUCCAAGUUUCGAGGAUUCGUCAAUCAAAUCAGGUUGAUAACAGUUUUAUAGCCCCAACGAUAUCCAACGGAGGAGUCACGUGUUGGGCUUGUUGGAACCUUACUUACAUGACAAGCUCUAUCAUGGUUUGCUCCUUAGUUUGAGAAACGAUCAUCCAUAUUAAACAACUUCGAAACCUUUUUGGAAGCAUUUGCGGAAGCAUUUGGUGAACACGAUAAGGUUCGAUGGGCUACAACAAAGAUCCGGUCGCUACGACAAAGGAUGCAUUCUACAUCAGUCUAUGCUUCGGAUUUGAGGCAAUUAGUAUGCGACAUCAAUUGGAAUGAAGAAGCGUUGAUGAGUCAAUUCUAUUGGGAUUUAAGAGAUGAUGUGAAGGAUUUGCUGUUAAUUCUUCCCGAUCCACGAACGCUCAAUGAAGCCAUUAGCCAAGCUGUGAAGUGCGAUAAUCACCUAUUCCAACGUCGCUAAGAUCAACGCUCAAGACAACAUACAAUUUGCCAUGCUCCAACUAUAUCGGCAAGCGGUGUGAAUUCGCAUUCAGAGGUAGAAGACAUGCAAAUUGAUGCGGUACGUAUCAAAUCUCUUACUAUAGAAGAAAAAAAACGACGUAUGGAAGAAAAUUUAUGCUUGUAUUGCGGUGGAAAAGGCCACAAAGUUGGAAACUGCCCCAAAAAGCAAAAUCGAGGCAUAGUCAAGACUAGGGGAGUAUUUGUUCAAGAAAACGAAGAUGCCUAGCCAUAGUAGGAACCGUGCGGCUGGACAAUGAAAUAUCCCAACAAUAAUCAGGUUCCUUUCUUUCUGCCCAACUUGUACUUUGUUUUACAAUCUCUCUGUUUAUCAGCCCUCAAAAACUGAGAACCUUAGCACUACUAGACUCAGGAGCAUCUGCUUGUUUUUUAGACGAAGAAUUUACAAAGUGUCAUAAGAUCCCUUUAGUACAAAAAUCAAAACCUGUUCAUGUUGAGGUCAUAGAUGGGCGACCUUUAUUGUCUGGUAGCAUCACCCACGAAUCAAAACCUAUAGAAGUAACAUUUAAAGACCAUAGUAGUCAUAUUAUUUUUAAUAUUAUUAGAACCCCAUCAAAUCCUAUUAUUCUUGGUCUUUCUUGGUUGGAAAAACAUAAUCCAUUGAUAGAUUGGAGGUUGCGGAAGAUGACUUUUUCCACAAAACCAUCCAAGAAAAAACCUAGUAAAAAACCUCGAAAAAUAAAUCCUUAUUCAUUGAAGCAAGAGCGUUUAUAAGAUCAUCUAAGGAAGGCACUCCAUUUGUCAUUUAUGCGGCUCCAACUACCGAGGAGAAGAUUUCAACAGCAAGUAUACCGGAGCAAUGUAAAGAUUUUGAAGACGUGUUUCAAAAGAAGAACGCCGACAUACGAUCGGAACACCGACCAUAUGAUUGUGCCAUAGACUUGCAAGAAGGAGCACAACCACCUUUUGGCCCAAUCUACAAUCUAUCACAAAUGGAGUUGGCAGAGUUACGAAAGUACAUCGACAAGAAUCUAGCCAAGAACUUCAUUCGUCAUUCAAAAUCAUCAGCUGGAGCACCCAUCUUAUUUGUGAAGAAGAAAGAUGGAUCAUUACGGAUGUGUGUGGACUAUCGAGGCCUCAACAAGAUAACAAAGAAAAAUCGUUACCCAUUACCCUUGAUUUCUAGUUUCUUAGAACAACUUGGACGUGCGAAGAUCUUUACAAAAAUUGAUCUAAAGAGAGCUUAUAAUCUCGUACGAAUCAAGGAAGGAGAUGAGUGGAAGACGGCAUUUCGUACAAGGUAUGGUCAUUUCGAAUAUAAUGUCAUGCCUUUUGGUCUUAUCAAUGCUCCAGCGGUUUUCCAACAUAUGAUGAAUGACAUCUUUCGAGAAUACCUCGACCAUUUUGUUGUCAUCUACUUGGACGAUAUUCUAAUAUUCUCUAAAAAUGAGGAAGAGCAUGAGGAGCAUGUUUGUUUGGUCUUGGAGAAACUACACAAGCGAGGACUAUAUGCCAAAUUAGAAAAGUGUUUAUUUCACCAAACGGAGAUGGAAUUUUUGGGGUUCAUUGCAACUACAGAAGGUUUGAAGAUGGACCCCAAGAAAGUAGAAGCAAUCAUGUCUUGGGAGGUUUCGAAGAUGGUUAGAGACGUACAAUGCUUUCUUAGUUUUGCUAACUUCUAUCGGAUCUUCAUCAAGAAUUAUUCUCAAGUUGCUGCUCCUCUCACUCGAUUAACAUGCAAGGAUAAGUUGGAAUGGGGACCUUUGGCGGAGAAGGCGUUUCAAGAUUUGAAGACAGCAUUUACUACAGCUCCAAUUUUGGUACAUCCAAACUUUACAAAGGCCUUCUAUUUAGUAACUGAUGCUUCAGAUUUUGCUUUGGGAGCUGUGCUUUCACAAAUGAGUGAAGAUAAGAAGCUCCAUCCAGUUGCAUUCUAUUCUCGAAAGUUCUUUGCUGCUGAAAUCAAUUAUGAGAUCGAUGAUAAGGAACUUCUUGCUAUAGUGGAUUCUUUCAAAGAAUGGCGUCACUUUCUUGAAGGAGCUGCACAUCCAGUAACCGUAUAUACGGAUCACAAGAAUUUGGAGUAUUUCAUGACGGCUCGAGUUUUAAAUCGGCGUCAAGCUCGGUAGAAUAUGUCGCUAUCUAGAUUCGACUUUGUUAUCACUUAUCAACCUGGAAGGCAGCAAGGACUAUCCGAUGCUUUAUCAAGGAGAUCGUAUCUUGCACCAAAGGUUGGAGAAGCAGCGUUUGAUCAACAAUGUACAACGUUAUUGAAGCCAGAGAGAUUUCAACUUUGUGCUACUAUUGUAUCAUUUGAUGCUGACUUCCUAAACCAGGUACGUGCUAUGACCAUUAAAGAUUCAGUAGCCAUUGAUAUCAAGCAACGUACCAAUGACGACAAGUUCAAGGUGGAGGGAGAUCUUUUAUACUUUGAAGAGCGAUUGUACAUUCCAAAAGGACUAGCACGACUCCGAGUUCUUCAAUCUCGCCAUGACUUUCCAGCUAUGGGACAUUUUGGAUUCAACAAGACCUUGGAGCUUAUUUCCCGAGAUUUUUGGUGGCCCCAAAUAUGGAAGGAUGUGAAAGAUUUUGUCCUCUCUUGUGACAUCUGUUCAAGAUCAAAGAAUCCUCGGCAUCGCCCUUAUGGACUUCUACAGCCAUUGCCAAAUCCACGUCGACCAUGGUCUUCAAUUUCUAUGGACUUCAUCACGAACUUGCCAUCAUCAAACUCAUUUGACAGCAUCUUUGUCGUGGUAGAUCGGCUUACGAAGAUGGCACACUUUGUUCCUUGUAAGAAGACAUCGUCCAGUGAAGUCACAACAAGACUCUUUCUCGAUAAUGUGUAUCGAUAUCAUGGACUACCAGAUGAUAUCAUAUCAGAUCGAGGUACCCAGUUCGUGUCAAAGUUUUGGAGAUCUCUCUUUGGGAUAUUGAAGGUGGAUAUCAAGCUUACUUCAGCUUUUCAUCCUCAAACAGAUGGCCAAACGGAACGGGUGAACCAAGUCUUGGAGCAGUACUUACGAUGCAGCAUCAACUAUCAGCAAGACGAUUGGACUGCAUAUCUACCGCUAGUCGAGUUUGUACAUAACAACACCCUCCAUGCGUCGACUCAACAAACACCAUUCUUUUCCAACUAUGGGUAUCAUCCGAAGCUUGAUUUAUUGAGUCCGUCAACAAAUAACAAUCCAGCAGCUGAAGGAUUUGCGAAGCAACUAUCACAGCUUCAAACUAUGUUGAAGCUUCAAUUACAAUCCGCUCAAGAAUCCUAUAAGACGUCUGCAGAUAGAUUUCGGAAUCCAACACCUACUUUCAAAGUUGGAGACAAAGCCUGGCUUCUUCGACGAAAUAUCAAGACCAAGCGACCAUGUGAUAAGUUGGACUAUUGAAGAUUGGGACCAUUUAUCAUCCAGAAGCAAAUUAAUCCAGUGGCAUACCGGCUGGAGUUACUGGCUUGUAUGAAGGUACAUCCAGUCUUUUAUGUUUCUCUGUUGGAACCUUAUCGAGAGUCAUCUUUUCUUGGAAGAGUACAAUGUCCGCCACCUAGUAUUGAAAUCGAAAACCACAAAGAAUACGAGGUUGAAAAGGUAUUGGAUUCACGGCGAAGGUGGGGAAAGUUAGAAUAUCUUGUUCAUUGGUGCGGCUAUGACAUUAAUGAGCAAACGUGGGAGCCAGCUGAAAAUCUUGCGAAUGCGCCACAAAAGGUACAGGAGUUUCAUCAAUGACAUCCCGAUAAACCUAAAUCAAUUCGAUGAUAGCUUCUUUCUGAAGCUUGUUCUCCCAACAAUAUAAGAAAAGGGGAGAUCACCGGAAAAUUCAUAGUUGAUGUAGUUAUUUUCUCCAAGAUAGAUCGUAGUUUGGUCUUUUGAUAUAGAUAGCUAAGAGAUAGAUACUAUGCCAGUCAGAGUAUUGCAACCGAGUAGCUCAUGAAGGCGACCCCAAGAUGAAGAACUACAUGUACCACGACGACAACGGAAGAUACCGAGUAACCGAUCACUGGUGAUUGUAUUUGAGAUCGAGCCUGCUUACGAUGGUCAACGAGAAGGCGUAUUUGCAGGACAAUUUCACAAUGAGGACACGAAAGUUUAUGCUUGGUCAGAAGUCGAAGGCGUGGGCCACUACCGUUGGCUUCAAGGGUCGAUGAACCACUUGCCUCGUGAACAACAAAUGGAGUUCAUAGCAGAAGUUAUGCGACAGAUCUUCAUUUUCUUGCGUUGGUACUGAUCAACAACAUUGCUUCUCAGAGACCUCGAAGCAAAAGGAGGGGGUGAUAUUAGGGACAUAUUUCUUAGAACUUUCUAGAGAGAAGUUUCUAGAACCUUCUAGAAAACAAGCCUCUAGAACCUUUUAGAAGAGAAGCCUCUAGAACCUUUUAGAGAGAAGUUUCUAGAAGCUUCUAGAAAGGAAGUCUCUAGAACCUUCUAGAAGAGAAGUUUCUAGAAACUUCUAGAAAGGAAUCCCCUAGAACUUUCUAGAAGCUUCCUAGUUAAUAGAAGUAGCUCGAGAAGUUUCUAGAACCUUCUAGAAAGGAAGCCUCUAGAACCUUCUAGAAGCUUCUUAGUUAAUAGAAGUAGCUCGAGAAGCUUCCUAAGUAGGAGUAUAUAUAGGAAUCGAGGCUGAAGAGUUCUUCAGUCUCGACAACACAUCUCUUCGAGUUCUAGCUCACCUUUUUGGUAUUGUUCUUGUACUCAUCUAUUUAAUCUAGUUCUGCCACUUCUUCUUGAACUUCUUGUUAGAUUUCAAGUCUGUAUUUUGUGUCCAUGACAAUUUAAUAAUAUGAUACAGCAAGAAAUUAUUUGCUGGAAAGAUGGAAAGAUAGCAUUAAAAGAUAGGGAGGAUCUUCUUCAAAUCAAUUUUGGCAAGGAAAGAAUGAGAGCAUUAGUUCAAGAUUACCUAAAAGAGCGCAAAACAGUAGCACGAGAAAGUGCAAGUUAUGGUGCUAGAGUAGAUGAUGACCUUGGUAGAAGAAUGGAAAGUAGUGAGUUUUGGGCUUCUGCCAUUUCUACAAUGCAAGAAGGAAAAUUACCUCGAGAAGCAUUAUUGAGGACUGCAGCUACAAUAUGAGGUGCAACAGGUUGGGAGGAUCCUGUUGAGUCUCUUUCAUUUCAUGCAUAUAUUACUAAGAGCCAACAUGAAGCUUUGAUGGAAGAAAAGAGACGAGGAAAUUUUGAUGAUACCAGAGAAGGAAAUUCUUCUAAGAGGAAAACUCGAGGAGACAAGGCUCAGGAGGCAGCUCCACAAGAAUUGCCUAUAAAGGAUACCUCAGCAUUAUUGGAAGAAAAAACAAGGGAGACAAAAGAUAAGGGCAAAUCAAUUGCUUAUAAGCUACUUUCUGACAUUGAAGCGGCAACAAAUUUGAAAGGGAUGUUGGAAGAACGUAUAUUAAACGCUAAGGUGGAAUUCACAUUGAAAGAAGUCUUGGGAAUUGCAAAGAAGGAGUUUCAUGAUGUUAUCAUUGACAGCAUUAAGCGAAAGAGGCAAUUAAUGGGCAAAACUGGAAUGAGUCAUGCUAUUGAUGCAAGAAUAUAUAAAGAUGAAGAAGAGGUUGAUAUUAGUUACAAGCAACCAACAAAUGAAAAAAAUGGGUAUAAUCAACGAGUACGUUUCGAAGAUUAUAGUGAUAAGGAAAUGGAAACUUUGAGCCAUUAUACUCGAAAGCAUUGGACACUGAGGUAUUGGUGAAAGUAGGAGAUAUAGAAGAACCAAUUGUUGCUUUAGUCGACCAUGGUUCUGAAAUAAAUCUCAUGUCUAAAGAUCUUUAUAAGAAGCAAAAAUGGCCAAUUGAUAUGGAACAUAGAUGGAUAAUUCGAGCAGCUAAUAACACACGGGACUAAUUAUAUGGAGCUUGUCCAGAUGUCAAGAUUCGGAUUGGGGAUGUUGCGACGGAGCAACAUUUCUUUGUUCAAGAUACAACGUCUUAUCCGUUGAUUUUAGGACAA